AUCCUUGCCCGCAUAAUGAUUUGUUCUUUCUUCAUUUCAUGAUUGCUUUUUGCGUCUACAUGCGCACGCAUGCUCGAGUACCAUGAUGCCAACGAUACGCACACACAAAUACACACAAAGAUGGCGUGUGCGUGUACAACGUACGAUGUUUCACUAACACAAAGAUACACUCAAUGGAUUUACAUUGUUCCAGUCAUAGCCACGGAAAACGUGCGACAAUGGCAACAAAUAUUAAUUAGAAACCUGUCGAAAAUAAUAGAAAUCAAAUUCGAGUGACAGGAAAUGCAAUGAAGUUAGAUGUGUUGUAGUGUGUGUAAGAGAGAAGAUUUGUGAGUCUGUAGUAGUGAAAUAAAUAAAUAGCACACACAGAAGCAAAGUGGGAGAUGCGAACCAAGAAAGCUCGAGAACCGAAAGUCUAAGUUAGUACUGUUUGUUCCAAACCACGAUUGGAUGCAUCUCGCAGCUCCCGUGGUAAAAUUUAUUUUUUAUUUUGCUCAAACAUACAGAAAAUUAUACAGUGCAUAGAGCUAGCUCCAGAAGCAAGUAAAUCUUUGCGAACUUUUACCAACAGUUCGUAAAGACCAUACACAUUGCCGUUCGCUUCGCUUGCAGGCAUAGUGUUUUCCAGCUUAUGGUAAAAGCAUUCUCGGUGUAACGCGUGUGCUUGGAAAGCUAAGCCCCGGUCGAGGUUGUGUGAUCUUGCGAUCGAGCACGAAUUGGCUGGUGGAAAAGAAUAGAAAUUAAGAGAGAAAAGGAACGUGCAGGCUACGUGGCGUAGUGGUGUGUUCAUUUCUAAGGUUACGUGUGUUAGUACAUUUCUUUCUUGUAUAUCAGCAUCAUCCAACGUUAGUGUGUAUCUCACAUA
Molecule: long non-coding RNA, 865 nt
Organism: Anopheles merus
Lineage: Eukaryota; Metazoa; Arthropoda; Insecta; Diptera; Culicidae
Exons: 4
Source: RefSeq, a predicted model, not a curated record